GGGGUAUGGAUUACUGACAUGCUAGCUUUUGUCAAUGAUGUCCAAUUGCCCAGAGACAACAAGAUGUGGUCCGGCCCCAGCUGCCAUGUGUUGUGGACAUGUUUUCAAGUCUGCAAUGCACACACACUUGCUCGGCAUAGGAGUGAAAAUGGACUUCCGUAAAGUUGGUGCAAAGUUCUAAUGCAUUCAACAAUAUGUAAAAGAAUGGAUUACAUACAACAAACGUACGACAUGAUGACUGUGACUGGUCUGUGUGUGGUGGAUUUGCUGAUCGGCAGUGUCGUGGGAACCCCCCUACCAUAUCAGGAGCAGAAGGCUGAGGAAGUACGUGGCCAGACACCAGUCCCACUUCAGAUGGAGGACAGGAGAGAUGGUUUGUCAUGGAGUCCCCUGACUAAAAGACAGGUUUAUACAGAUGUCUGGGAGAGAGUGGAGUGUUUGAGACGAUUGUUUCUGUCUUUAAAAAAUGUAUUAUGAUUGACUGGGCCUGGCUCCCCAGUGGGUGGGCCUCUGCCCAGUCAUGAGAAAUCCAUAGAUUCGGGCCUAAUGAAUUUAUUUAAAUUGACUGAUUUCCUUAUAUAAACUGUAACUGUGUAAAAUCGUUGAAAUUGUUGCAUGUUUCGUUAAUAUUUUUGUUCAGUGUACAUUGAACACAUGGUUUCCAUGUGUUUGGUGAAAUUCCAUUCACUACAUUUUGGCCAUUAUUAUGAGCUGUUCUCCCCUCAACAGCCUCCUGUGUUGUGCAAUGUCCACAUGUAGCCUACACCUGUAGGUAUAUUAGGGAAAGAUCUAACAGUGGACAUAAGGAGAGACGAAACAAAACAAGACAGUUAUAGAAAACUGUGUUGACAGCUGAGCUGACUGAAGACCAGGUAAUCAACUGGCAGUUGUUGCUAUCGAUUCACGGUAACAUGUGAUUACGUGAUUACGUGACAAAACUAUAAGUUGGAAGCUACUUUUGUAGCAAGGUGUUGUAGAAGGUGUGUCUCACAUUCCAGACACUGGUACUUCUUGCUAUCUUGGUAUAGCUGUGAUUUGUCAGAGAAAUAUCAGUUAGCUAGAUAGGUUGGCCAGCUGUAGCUAUCCCCAAGCUAUGCUAGCUAGCUAGAUAGGCUAGCCAGCUGUAGCUAUCCCCAAGCUAUGCUAGCUAGCUAGAUAGGCUAGCCAGCUGUAGCUAUCCCCAAGCUAUGCUAGCUAGCUAGAUAGGCUAAACACAAGGUCAGUGCAGGCUUUAGCCUACACAUGGAAGUGAAUCAGCAGAUCAUCUUGAGAUGGCAGGUCACUCAGGAGGGGACAAGUCUUCAACUUCAGAACUUCUCUCCGUAACAAAGCUAGCUCAGCUUUCCUCACUGUCACUAAGAUACUCACUACUACCCUUGUUUGUUUGUUGUAAUUGAUUGGCAAAGACACAUCCAAGAAACACCCACAUUAAACCACACCCCAAAGACAACUCUUGUUUGGGAUUCAAUAACGGCCGCUGCAUUUCUCAAUGAGCACCGGAAGAAACACAUGCAGUUCACUUUUAAUGCCUCAUGAUGCAAGAGGCAAACUGUGACUCAAUGGAAAUUCCUAGUAAAUCUGGCAAUCAGUUCAACCAUAAAAGUUAACGACUUUCCCUAUGAUAUAUCACAUGCUAUCCGUAUCGAGUGAACUUUUAGCUUUUUUAUGUAGCAAUCUGCAGUUGCUACAUCCAUUUUUGGACUUGUAAAAUUAAUUAUAUGUACCGAUUGAUUCUUGAAGAAUAUAACAUAUAAAUGCCUCCUGAACUUAGUUCAAAUGUAAUACCCUAUCAGAACCCAAAAUAUAAGAUAGUUUACUUACUUUUAAAAAUGUUAUUUAUUUCACCUCUGUUUAACCAGGUAAGCCAGUUGAGAACAAGUUCUCAUUUACAACUGCAACCUGGCCAAGAUAAAGCAAAGCAGUGUGACACAAACAACACAGAGUUACAAAUGGAAUAAACAAACGUACCGUCAAUAACAGAAUAGAAAAAUCUAUAUACAGUGUGUGCAAAUGAAGAAAGAUGAGGGAGGUAAGGGAAUAAAUAGACCGUAGUGGAGAAGUAACUACAAUUUCGCAAAUAAACACUGGAGUGAUAGAUGCAGAAGAUGAAUGUGCAAGUAGAGAUACUGGGGUGCAAAGGAGCAAAAAAUAUAUAAAUAAAAUAAAUAACAACAUGGGGAUGAGGUAGUUGGAUGGGCUAUUUACAGAUGGGCUAUGUACAGGUGCAAUGAUCUGUAAGCUGCUAUGAUAGCUGAUGCUUAAAGUUAGUGAGGGAGAUACGAGUCUCCAGCUUCAGUGAUUUUUGCAAUUCGUUCCAGUCAUUGGCAGCAGAGAACUAUAUUGUUGGUUUAAAUGUAAACAAACAAUAUAGCGUAGCACCCCGUAUUAUCGGCAUGGUCAACAGUGUUGAAGAAAUAUAUUACCUUCAACAGUGUUAUCUUGUGAUGAAACCAUCAAUGUUUUGUGAUUAUUGGUGUUGUAACAAUGUUAGCUAACGGGUUAGCAUGUUUGACAUUUCAGUGGAAAUACUACUACUAUUAGCUUUUUGAUAAGUGGUUUAGCAAAGAAAACAACAUCCUGUAUUAUCGGCAUACGGUCCCCAGUUAUUGGCCACCUUAAUAUUUUGUUCAAUUACAAGAUAUAUCCGUUUACUUUUGUUAAAAAAAAGAGAUAAAAAGUUGGAUAUUAAAUUAUGUGUGGUCUGUCGCGCAGUCGAAUUUUACAAUAUACAGCGUGUCCCACAAAAUGUGUAUAUAUAUAUAUAUAUAUAUAUAUAUUACUUUUUUGAAAACUCUCAAAACCUAACUUACAUAAAUUGCAAUGAAAAUCGGUGGUCAGGUUUAAAAAAAAAAAAUCGGUGGUCGUUGCCGCUUUAAGGGACCUAUACAGGCAUGAGCUAACAUACAUUUGAAGUUCAGCAGAGGCCGGUGCAAAGUACUGACUGCGCCACUGCAUAAGCUCUCCAUGUGCACAAUGUAUACACUCAGCAAAAUGUCUAAGCAUGCACCCAGAACCUGGGGUUCAAGUACCUUUCCUUGGUUGAGCAACUUGGUUGAUGCUAUGUAGAAAACAUCCCACUCAAGAAAAAAUGUAUAUCACGUUUGUUAAUGACUUAUUGUCAAUAAAAAACAACUGAUGUUGAUCUGGCAUCUUUGCCUGGUGAGAAAACAAACAACUAACUCAAUAACAUUGGUUUGGCCAUUCCUCCAAAUAACUACAUGGUUUGACAAAAGUAAAAACAUAUAAAUGUUUCUAGGUGUAACUAAAUAUAGACAUUUCCACGUGAAAGAAGUGAUUGUGUGGGGAGCUGUGGUCCAGUGGUAACACUCCCGGCUCUAUGCACAUAAGACUCCCUGCCGGAGACCGGGGUCGCAAUCCCUGUGUGCUCCCUUCUCUUUGUGUCUUCCCUUCACAUACAGUGCAUUCAGAAAGUAUUCAGACCCCUUGACUUUUUCAAAAUUUUGGUUACAUUAUGGACCUUAUUCUAAAAUGGAUUAAAUUGCUUUUUUCCCCCUCAUCAAUCUACACACAAUACCCCAUAAUGACAAAAACAGGUUUUUAGAAAUGUUUGCAGGGUCCCCCGAGUGGUGCAGCGGUCUAAGGCACUGCAUUGCCGUGCUACAGUGCAUCACUACAGACCCUGGUUUGAUCCCAGGCUGUAUCACAACUGGCCGUGAUCGUGAGUCCCAUAAGGCAUCGCACAUUCAGAGACUUACCCGAAAGCCACACCUGCGCUGUCUCGCCUGUGUGUUUAGGAUGGUUGUCCUGUUGGAAGGUGAACCUUUGACCCAAUCUGACAUCCUAAGCAGGUUUUCAUCAAGGAUCUCUUUGUACUUUGCUCUGUUCAUCCUUCCCUCGAUCCUGACUAGUCCUCCAAUCCCUGCUGCUGAAAAACAUCCCCACAGCAUGAUGCUGCCACCACCAUUCUUCACCGUAGGGAUGGUGCCAGGUUUCCUCCAGAUGUGACGCUUGGUAUUCAGGCCAAGGAGUUCAAUCUUGGUUUCAUCAGACCAGAGAAUCUUGUUUGUCAUGGUCUGAGAGUAUUUAGGUGCCUUUUGGCAAACUCCAAGCAUGCUGUCAUGUGCCUUUUAUUGAGGAUUCGCUUCCGUCUGAUGGUUGUCCUUCUGGAAGGAACUCUGGAGCUCUGUCAGAGUGACCAUUGAGUUUUUGGUCACCUCCCUGACCAAGGCCCUUCUCCCCUGAUUGCUCAGUUUGGUCAGGCGGCCAGCUCUAGGAAGAGUUAUGGUGGUUCAAAACUUCUUCCAUUUAAGAAUGAGGGAGGCCACUACGGUCUUGGGGACCUUCAAUGCUGCAGACAUUUUUUGGUACCCUUCCCCAGAUUUGUGCCUCGACACAAUCCUUUCUUGGAGCUCUACAGACAAUUCCUUCAACCUCAUGGCUUGGUUUUUGCUCUGACAUGCACUGUCAACUGUGAGACCUUGUAUAGACAGGUGUGUGCCUUUCUAAAUCAUGUGCAAUCAAUUAAAUUUACCACUGGUGGACUCCAAUCAAGUUGUAGAAACAUCUCAAGGAUGAUCAAUGGAAACAGGAUGCACCGGAGCUCAAUUUCAAGUCACAUAGCAACGGGACUAUUUUUUUAAAUCCAUUUUAGAAUAAGGCUUUAACGGAAUAAAAUGUGGAAAAGGUCAAGGGGUCUGAAUACUUUGUCUAUCAAUAAAGCAUUAAAAAAUAUACAGAAGGAGAGUGACUCUCCACUUCCACUCCUUAAAAAAAAAUGAUUGUGCAAAAUUAUUGAUUCAUAAAAAGGACUGGUUCAAAACCCUUGAACUGAUUGUUAUGGCACGUAGAUUAAAUACCACAGUCCAGUAGUGCAGAAUACAUAUUAGGAACUUCCUCAUGUAGAGUGAAUUCCAUAGGCUAGUGCAGAAUACAUAUUAGGAACUUCCUCACGUAAAAUUAAUUCCACAGUCUAGUAGUGUGUCAGGUAACUCCAGAGAGAAACCGGAUACUAUCCCCUGACAUGUAAUGAGCCAGAGGUUUCUGAAAUAUGCACUCAGCUCAUCUGUGGGGUAUGAGAAUGGUUUUGUAACCAGUCAUUACUAUGAGUGUAUUAUUUCUCCUAGACUUAAAAUCGGCAUGACAUUUCCUGUUGUUCAAAACCCACAAUCCUGUUGCUGUUGUUGCUGUUGUUGAAACAGGAGUGUCGACAAUGUGAACUUGUGGAGAAUCCAAAAAAAGCAUGACAUCUGGUGGUCUGUUAUUGUCUUGUGAUAAACAGAGAGGAAUUAAGUCAAUCCCUGCGAUCUCUUAAGGCCAGGUGAAUGAAUUAUU
Salvelinus fontinalis (brook trout) is the source of this 5292-nucleotide long non-coding RNA. RefSeq lists it as uncharacterized. The record is from RefSeq and is a predicted model, not a curated record. The transcript is spliced from 3 exons. Lineage: Eukaryota; Metazoa; Chordata; Actinopteri; Salmoniformes; Salmonidae.